CUACCAUGCAGUCGACGGGACUAAGACUGACACCAGAUAUUCAGGGCAGCUGGUGGGGAAGAAAGAGCCAGUGAAGGUGAAUGGCUGGUGUUGGUUUUAGUUCAGUGGCGGACGGGUGAGUAACGCGUGAGUAACCUGCCUUUCAGAGGGGGAUAGCGUCUGGAAACGGACGGUAAUACCGCAUGACAUUCCGGUGCUGCAUGGUACUGGAAUCAAAGGAGCAAUCCGCUGGAAGAUGGACUCGCGUCCGAUUAGCCAGUUGGUGAGGUAACGGCCCACCAAAGCGACGAUCGGUAGCCGGACUGAGAGGUUGAACGGCCACAUUGGGACUGAGACACGGCCCAGACUCCUACGGGAGGCAGCAGUGGGGGAUAUUGCACAAUGGAGGAAACUCUGAUGCAGCAACGCCGCGUGAAGGAAGACGGUCUUCGGAUUGUAAACUUAUGUCCUCAGGGACGAUAAUGACGGUACCUGAGGAGGAAGCUCCGGCUAACUACGUGCCAGCAGCCGCGGUAAUACGUAGGGAGCGAGCGUUGUCCGGAUUUACUGGGUGUAAAGGGUGCGUAGGCGGCUGUUUAAGUCAGGUGUGAAAGACCGGGGCUCAACUCCGGGGUGGCACUUGAAACUGGGUUUCUUGAGGGCAGGAGAGGGAAGCAGAAUUCCUGGUGUAGCGGUGAAAUGCGUAGAAAUCAGGAGGAAUACCAGUGGCGAAGGCGGCUUUCUGGACUGACCCUGACGCU
This 740-nucleotide ribosomal RNA is filed under the name uncultured bacterium. RNAcentral describes it as "bacterial SSU rRNA". It matches the Rfam family "Bacterial small subunit ribosomal RNA", at positions 1 to 747 of the family's 1533-position model. The record is from RNAcentral.